CAAGGUAGGUCUUGCUAUCUGUAUAUUUGCUGCAUUGUUGCCCCAUUCACACUCAAAUGUGUUUCUGAAUGUAUCUGAUAAUUGUCCCCCCUGUAAGGUGAAUGUGUCUGUCCUUGUCCAACUGUAAGGCAAAGUAAUAUAUUCUGGGUGUUUGUUUACUUACAUGGUAGUGAUAAGAUCCAACUUCUGGCGUAUUCUUUGGUGACCUAUGCUGGUUCCUUUCUCAACUCUACUGUAAGGUGAAUGUAUCUGUCCUUGUCCAACUGUAAGGCAAAGUAAUAUUCUGGGUGUAUGUUUACUUGCGUGGUAGUGAUAAGAUCUAUCUUCUGGCGUAUUGUUUGGUGACCUAUGCUGGUUCCUUUCUCAACUCUAUGGUCUAACUUUUUUUGACUAACUGUUAAAGUGAAUAUAUUCUAUCUUUUGUAACUCAAUAACUGAUCUGCAAAAAUCUCUGCAGAAUAUUGUUUGCAGUCUAUUACAUUCUCUUUGAUGAAUGUGGUUUGAAGUUCUUUAUUACCUUCGAUCCCUUUGUAACUUAACGUAAUUGUUUUAUGCAUCUUCCUUAUCAUGUGGGAACUUCAUCUUUUUAUCUCUUGCAGUUUGAAUGUUAUCUCAAGGUAAACAACGAGGUGCACUGCAAAGCACAGUUGUGGCUGGUUCCUUUGUCUUAGAAGGAACGCUAAAUAAAGAUAG
Molecule: long non-coding RNA, 693 nt
Filed under: Nicotiana benthamiana
Lineage: Eukaryota; Viridiplantae; Streptophyta; Magnoliopsida; Solanales; Solanaceae
Description: long non-coding RNA (NBEN_LNC030594)
Source: RNAcentral